CCUACGGGGGGCAGCAGUGGGGAAUCUUGCGCAAUGGGCGAAAGCCUGACGCAGCAACGCCGCGUGAGGGAAGACGGCCUUCGGGUUGUAAACCUCUUUCAGGAGGGACGAAGCUUCCGGGGUUAAUAGCCCACGGGGUGACGGUACCUCCAGAAGAAGCCCCGGCUAACUACGUGCCAGCAGCCGCGGUAAUACGUAGGGGGCAAGCGUUGUCCGGAAUCAUUGGGCGUAAAGCGCGUGUAGGCGGCUUGGUAAGUCUGGUGUGAAAACUUGGGGCUCAACCCCAAGCCUGCACUGGAAACUGCCUCGCUUGAGUCCGGGAGGGGAGAGCGGAAUUCCUAGUGUAGCGGUGAAAUGCGCAGAUAUUAGGAAGAACACCGGUGGCGAAGGCGGCUCUCUGGAACGGUACUGACGCUGAGACGCGAAAGCGUGGGGAGCGA
This 440-nucleotide ribosomal RNA is filed under the name uncultured bacterium. Its description in RNAcentral is "bacterial SSU rRNA". It matches the Rfam family "Bacterial small subunit ribosomal RNA", at positions 338 to 771 of the family's 1533-position model. The record is from RNAcentral.